UGGGGAAUAUUGGACAAUAGGGGCAACCCUGAUCCAGCAAUGCCGCGUGUGUGAAGAAGGUCUUCGGAUUGUAAAGCACUUUCGACGGGGACGAUGAUGACGGUACCCGUAGAAGAAGCCCCGGCUAACUUCGUG
RNAcentral lists this ribosomal RNA (135 nucleotides) under uncultured bacterium. Its description in RNAcentral is "partial 16S ribosomal RNA". It matches the Rfam family "Bacterial small subunit ribosomal RNA", at positions 355 to 507 of the family's 1533-position model. The record is from RNAcentral.